CCUCUAUCAAAACACACAUACACAACUCUCAAUAAACAACAAUCAUAAUCUUCCAUCCAUAAUCAAUCUUCCAAUAACUUCUCAUAUAAUUCAAUCACUCAAUACUCCAAUUACAUAAUCAAUAACUCAUAAAUCAAUCUCUGAUUUAUUCCAUAGACUCACUUCUCAGUAUUCAGAAACUAUCCAUUAUUCUUCAACAACAAAGAAAACAAAAGAAACAAAGAGGAAGCACCAAGCUUAACCCUGACUCAUGACUUUCACAGUCUAGCACUUUCUUCCUGUCUCCCAUCCUC
This 293-nucleotide long non-coding RNA is filed under the name Physcomitrium patens. Its description in RNAcentral is "long non-coding RNA (PPAT_LNC000506)". The record is from RNAcentral. Lineage: Eukaryota; Viridiplantae; Streptophyta; Bryopsida; Funariales; Funariaceae.